Anguilla anguilla (European eel) is the source of this 438-nucleotide long non-coding RNA. RefSeq lists it as uncharacterized. The transcript is spliced from 4 exons. The record is from RefSeq and is a predicted model, not a curated record. NCBI's taxonomy places the organism in Eukaryota, Metazoa, Chordata, Actinopteri, Anguilliformes, Anguillidae.
CAGAAUUGAACGGUUAUUACAAUACGAAAGCAUUAAAUAUACAUUUACCCCUGCACAUCAACGACAGCCAGGCAAAUCGUUUCCCCUAUUGGACUUCAAUAGUCACAGCUGCAAACGUAAAGAGACUACAUUACAAUCGUUUUGUAGAUGCCAUUAUCAAGCAAGGAAAAAACAGCACGGCAUAGAGAUCGUUUAAAAAAUGAUCCAGUUGCAAGGGCAGAGUACCUUGCCAAAAGAAAAGCAAGUUACCAAAAAAGGAAGAAUGAGGGGAAAAUACUGAAAACACCAGUAAGUCAGCUCUCCAAGGCACAACAAGAAAAAACAAGGCAGCAGUGGAGGAGCUACUGUGGUGGAAGUUACCUUAAUUUCCCCCAGUCGGUCUCCGCUUGCAUCUCUGCUUGCCUGAGGGACAUCCAGAGCUGGAUGGAUAACCACCAU